This 764-nucleotide ribosomal RNA is filed under the name Staphylococcus aureus. RNAcentral's name for it is "bacterial SSU rRNA". It matches the Rfam family "Bacterial small subunit ribosomal RNA", at positions 65 to 815 of the family's 1533-position model. Lineage: Bacteria; Bacillati; Bacillota; Bacilli; Caryophanales; Staphylococcaceae. The record is from RNAcentral.
AACGGACGAGAAGCUUGCUUCUCUGAUGUUAGCGGCGGACGGGUGAGUAACACGUGGAUAACCUACCUAUAAGACUGGGAUAACUUCGGGAAACCGGAGCUAAUACCGGAUAAUAUUUUGAACCGCAUGGUUCAAAAGUGAAAGACGGUCUUGCUGUCACUUAUAGAUGGAUCCGCGCUGCAUUAGCUAGUUGGUAAGGUAACGGCUUACCAAGGCAACGAUGCAUAGCCGACCUGAGAGGGUGAUCGGCCACACUGGAACUGAGACACGGUCCAGACUCCUACGGGAGGCAGCAGUAGGGAAUCUUCCGCAAUGGGCGAAAGCCUGACGGAGCAACGCCGCGUGAGUGAUGAAGGUCUUCGGAUCGUAAAACUCUGUUAUUAGGGAAGAACAUAUGUGUAAGUAACUGUGCACAUCUUGACGGUACCUAAUCAGAAAGCCACGGCUAACUACGUGCCAGCAGCCGCGGUAAUACGUAGGUGGCAAGCGUUAUCCGGAAUUAUUGGGCGUAAAGCGCGCGUAGGCGGUUUUUUAAGUCUGAUGUGAAAGCCCACGGCUCAACCGUGGAGGGUCAUUGGAAACUGGAAAACUUGAGUGCAGAAGAGGAAAGUGGAAUUCCAUGUGUAGCGGUGAAAUGCGCAGAGAUAUGGAGGAACACCAGUGGCGAAGGCGACUUUCUGGUCUGUAACUGACGCUGAUGUGCGAAAGCGUGGGGAUCAAACAGGAUUAGAUACCCUGGUAGUCCACGCCGUAAACGAUGAGUG